AACGGCGAGUGAAGCGGUAAAAGCUCAAAUUUGAAAUCUGGCUCUUUUAGAGUCCGAAUUGUAAUUUGUAGAAGAUGCUUCGGGUGUGGUUCCGGUCUAAGUUCCUUGGAACAGGACGUCAUAGAGGGUGAGAAUCCCGUAUGUGACUGGAUACCUAUGCUCAUGUGAAGCUCUUUCGACGAGUCGAGUUGUUUGGGAAUGCAGCUCAAAAUGGGAGGUAUAUUUCUUCUAAAGCUAAAUAUUGGCCAGAGACCGAUAGCGCACAAGUAGAGUGAUCGAAAGAUGAAAAGCACUUUGGAAAGAGAGUUAAACAGUACGUGAAAUUGUUGAAAGGGAAGCGCUUGCAAUCAGACUUGCACUUGGUGUUCAUCAGGGUCUCGUACCCUGUGUACUUCAUCAAGUUCAGGCCAGCAUCAGUUUGAGUGGUUAGAUAAAGGCUUAGAGAAUGUGGCCCUCUUCGGGGGGUGUUAUAGCUCUA
Molecule: ribosomal RNA, 478 nt
Filed under: Botrytis cinerea
Lineage: Eukaryota; Fungi; Ascomycota; Leotiomycetes; Helotiales; Sclerotiniaceae
Description: eukaryotic LSU rRNA
Rfam family: Eukaryotic large subunit ribosomal RNA
Source: RNAcentral